RNAcentral lists this unclassified non-coding RNA (253 nucleotides) under uncultured Flavobacteriales bacterium. RNAcentral describes it as "contains 16S-23S intergenic spacer region". It matches the Rfam family "Bacterial small subunit ribosomal RNA", at positions 524 to 776 of the family's 1533-position model. The record is from RNAcentral. Lineage: Bacteria; Pseudomonadati; Bacteroidota; Flavobacteriia; Flavobacteriales.
UACGGAGGGUCCAAGCGUUAUCCGGAAUCAUUGGGUUUAAAGGGUUCGCAGGCGGUCUAUUAAGUCAGUGGUGAAAUCCCGGGGCUCAACUCCGGAACUGCCAUUGAUACUGAUAGACUUGAAUAUAGUUGAAGUAGGCGGAAUGUGUAGUGUAGCGGUGAAAUGCUUAGAUAUUACACAGAACACCGAUAGCGAAGGCAGCUUACUAAACUAUUAUUGACGCUCAUGAACGAAAGCGUGGGGAGCGAACAGG